Molecule: long non-coding RNA, 1274 nt
Organism: Gallus gallus (chicken)
Lineage: Eukaryota; Metazoa; Chordata; Aves; Galliformes; Phasianidae
Source: Ensembl
GACAGAGAUCUACGAGGUUCACAGAGAGGGUGACUGGAAAACUUUCUGCAGCAACUUGCAUGAGAUUCCACCUUGAGCCAUGUUUCUCUGACAACACAGUUGUUCCCAAGCUGAGUGAGAAGCCUUGCACAGUGUAGUUCUUCUAUCAGGGUCCAUGGGGCUCCCAUACAUUGACACAGCUUCUGAAAUGGACCAGACCUUCAGUGCUGCUAGUUGUGUUGAUGAGCUCAGAAACUGUUCCCUGCUAUGAAAAGAAACCUCAAAUUGGUUCUCCCAUGAGGUCUGGUAUGAGAUCUGGUGAUAUCUUCACAUUUUACAUUAAUAAAAUGAAGUCUGUUCCCUCUCUUACUUAUAUGUAUAGUAUGCUCUAUGAAAACAGUAGAUAUUUUUAAUGUUUCAAUAGCUUUUAUCAGAAGAAAAUGGAAACCAUACUUCUUAAAUGAAUUUUAUCUCUAUGGCAGUUCCAUAAAUUCAGAUCUGUGCCAGUUUAUUGCAGUCUAUUUUCUCCUCAGUGAGCAUCUGCUUAACAGUUCAGUGCAGAUAAAGAGGGAUGGGAACAUUCUAGCACACACCUAACUCCACCUCGUGGCAUGGCAGAAGUUACUUAGGUCACUAAUUCAUUUUCCUAGCACAAAUACUUUGGUCAAGCAGAAUGUUGUGUCAACCAAACAUGAGGUUUGUGCUCUCUUUUCCCUUUGUGUGUGUUCUUUGUAGCAGCAGUACUGAGAAAAAUGCAUUGUAUUAAUUUUAUAUAAUUUUUGUAUGCUUUACCCUUAUCUACUUAUAUAGGUAUUGUGUUGCAACAUAACCUUACUGCUAUGACCUAUUGUAACAAGAUGCAGUGCAACAGAUCCCCAAACCUUCUCCUCCUAAGCCUUCCCCUCUUUCUUUUUCCCCAUUUACCUUGGGAUUACAAUUAUUUUUAGGGAUUAUUCAGUCUUAAAACAAAGAACAGAUCUUAACAUCAAAUGGAAAAUAAGUGCAAGACUGAAAAUGAAGUGCUUUUGUCUAAGUUUAUGGAAUUGUUUAAGAAAUACCACUUUGGUUAAACAGAGCAUGGAAACGAAUAUAAUUAUCCAUGUUAUCUAGACUGGAAAGAGUGCUGUGAGGGGGGAGAAGGAGGAAGGCUUCCUGCUCCAGCAAAGGCAGGAUGGUUUCCUAUAGCAGAAGAUCCGUCUGUGCUGCUGAGUGACACCCAGUCAGCCAUAGAUACUUGUACAUGGAGCAAAAUGAGGCCAAAGUGUCUUAAAUUGUAAGACAUAAAAAAGAUGCCU